Molecule: ribosomal RNA, 122 nt
Filed under: Sphaerochaeta sp.
Lineage: Bacteria; Pseudomonadati; Spirochaetota; Spirochaetia; Spirochaetales; Sphaerochaetaceae
Description: partial 16S ribosomal RNA
Rfam family: Bacterial small subunit ribosomal RNA
Source: RNAcentral
GAAUUAAAUAACGGAGAGUUUGAUCCUGGCUCAGAACGAACGCUGGCGGCGUGUUUUAAGCAUGCAAGUCGCACGGCAAGGGGCUUCGGCCCCCCAGAGUGGCGGACGGGUGAGUAACACGU